This 119-nucleotide ribosomal RNA is filed under the name Runella aurantiaca. RNAcentral's name for it is "Runella sp. YX9 partial 16S ribosomal RNA". It matches the Rfam family "Bacterial small subunit ribosomal RNA", at positions 1 to 129 of the family's 1533-position model. Lineage: Bacteria; Pseudomonadati; Bacteroidota; Cytophagia; Cytophagales; Spirosomataceae. The record is from RNAcentral.
UUUACGAUGGAGAGUUUGAUCCUGGCUCAGGAUGAACGCUAGCGGCAGGCCUAAUACAUGCAAGGCGAAGGGGCAGCAAUGUCACUGUCGUACGGGUGCGUAACGCGUAUGCAACCUAC